RNAcentral lists this ribosomal RNA (1123 nucleotides) under human gut metagenome. RNAcentral describes it as "bacterial LSU rRNA". It matches the Rfam family "Bacterial large subunit ribosomal RNA", at positions 1326 to 2499 of the family's 2925-position model. The record is from RNAcentral.
AAUCCUUGCCGUCGAAAGUCUAAGGUUUCCUGGGGAAGGUUCGUCCGCCCAGGGUUAGUCGGGACCUAAGGAGAGGCCGAGAGGCGUAUCUGAUGGACAGCAGGUUGAUAUUCCUGCACUAUAGAUAUACUUAAAAGAUGCAAGGGACGCAGAAGUGGAAGGGAUGCGAGGAAGAGGAAAAACUCGUAUCGAAAGAUAUAGUGAAAAUAAAGUAACGAAUUCCCAAGAAGCACGCUGACGAGAAAAGCUUGUAGAUAUUGUAUAUAAAUACCCGUACCGCAAACCGACACAGGUAGAUGAGGAGAGGAUCCUAAGACGAGCGGGAGAAGCAUUGUUAAGGAACUCGGCAAAAUAACCCCGUAACUUCGGGAGAAGGGGAACCUAAGUAAAAUUAGGUCGCAGAGAAAAGGCCCAAGCAACUGUUUAACAAAAACACAGGUUUCUGCAAAAUCGAAAGAUGAAGUAUAGGAGCUGACGCCUGCCCAGUGCUGGAAGGUUAAGGGAAAGAGUUAGAUGUAAGUCGAAGCUUAGAACUAAAGCCCCAGUGAACGGCGGCCGUAACUAUAACGGUCCUAAGGUAGCGAAAUUCCUUGUCAGGUAAGUUCUGACCCGCACGAAAGGCGUAAUGAUUUGGGCACUGUCUCGACAAUGUACCCGGCGAAAUUGUAGUACUAGUGAAGAUGCUAGUUACCUGCGACAAGACAGAAAGACCCCAUGGAGCUUUACUGCAGUUUGAUACUGGGUUUCGAUAAGUUAUGUACAGGAUAGGUGGGAGACAAAGAAAGAAAGGCGUCAGCUUUUCCGGAGUCACCGUUGGGAUACCACCCUUAAUUUGUUGGAAUUCUAACUAGUGGUCAUGAUCUGGCCAGAGGACAAUGUCAGACGGGCAGUUUGACUGGGGCGGUCGCCUCCAAAAGAGUAACGGAGGCGCCCAAAGGUUCCCUCAGUGCGGACAGAAAUCGCACGAAAGAGUGUAAAGGCAGAAGGGAGCUUAACUGGAAGAUAGACAUAUCGAGCAGAUACGAAAGUAGGGCUUAGUGAUCCGGUGGAUAUUGAAUGGAAAAGCCAUCGCUCAACGGACAAAAGUUACCCUGGGGAUAACAGGCUUAUCUCCCCCAAGAGU